RNAcentral lists this ribosomal RNA (420 nucleotides) under Hordeum murinum. Lineage: Eukaryota; Viridiplantae; Streptophyta; Magnoliopsida; Poales; Poaceae. The record is from RNAcentral.
UUUUUCAUUAUUAUUUUUGCUGCACGCGAGAAACAUGACGCACGUGCGCGGUAAAUAUUGAAGGCACGUGCGGGGUAAAUAUUAAAUGCGGUUUCUUAUUUCUGACGUUUUGCGGUGAGUUGCAGCUUGCGGAUCGAUAUUGACGCAUGUUGGCGCGGCGUUAUGGUGGGAGAGGCACCACUUUCGAGAAGCGUUCAACGUCGUGUGAAAACUCGUGGCAAUGUGGGGACGGAGAUGGAGGGGUGAAAACCGUGGGAAACGUGGGAACGAUUGUCGAGGUGGAGAUAAAGUAGUAUGGUGAAGUAUACAAUGGUGGCAAGGAAUGGACGGGAUCCCAUCAGAACUCCGAAGUUAAGCGUGCUUGGGCGAGAGUAGUACUAGGAUAGGUGACCUCCUGGGAAGUCCUCGUGUUGCAUUCCC